Molecule: unclassified non-coding RNA, 365 nt
Filed under: uncultured bacterium
Lineage: Bacteria
Description: contains 16S-23S intergenic spacer region
Source: RNAcentral
GCGACAAUGGGCAGGGCUUCGAUCUUCCGAGAGCUGGACGACGCAGCGGAGACGGGCUCCGAAAUAUGGACGAGCGCACUGCAGCCCUCGGCGGUUCUCUCGAGGUGGUAAGUGAGCCAGGCUUCGGUACAACGGUUCGACUAAAGGUACCGGGGUCGGAGCGAGCGAGCCAACCGAACCACCCAGCCGCGGAAAAGUCAAGCUGUGUCGCGAAUUAAGGGAUCAUAAUGGUGGUGGGUCCGGCCCGAGGAGGCACCUCACUCCGCCGCGUACAUUGGCCACAGUGGGUCGUUCUCACCGCGCUCCGCAAUGAAAUCGAGCGCCUCGUUAAUCCCCUCCAGCGGGAAGUAUUUGGUCGUGAUCGG